CAGCCACGGCCCCAGGGACCAACGCGCACGCCUCCGGGGCCGCGCUCUGGCGGUCACCCGGCGGCUGCUGACAACUGAAUAAACACUCCGAAGCACUGCGAUCUGUCAAGGGCUGGGGCCGCCA
Ictidomys tridecemlineatus (thirteen-lined ground squirrel) is the source of this 124-nucleotide unclassified non-coding RNA. The record is from Ensembl. Lineage: Eukaryota; Metazoa; Chordata; Mammalia; Rodentia; Sciuridae.